This is a small nuclear RNA of Oryctolagus cuniculus (rabbit), 88 nucleotides long. Its record names the gene U2. It matches the Rfam family "U2 spliceosomal RNA". From Rfam's summary of the family: U2 is a small nuclear RNA (snRNA) component of the spliceosome (involved in pre-mRNA splicing). Complementary binding between U2 snRNA (in an area lying towards the 5' end but 3' to hairpin I) and the branchpoint sequence (BPS) of the intron results the bulging out of an unpaired adenosine, on the BPS, which initiates a nucleophilic attack at the intronic 5' splice site, thus starting the first of two transesterification reactions that mediate splicing. Lineage: Eukaryota; Metazoa; Chordata; Mammalia; Lagomorpha; Leporidae. The record is from Ensembl.
AUCACUUCUCAGCCUUUUGGCUAAGAUCAAGUGUAGUAACAACAAAUAUUUAAAAAAUUAUUCUGACUUUAUAUGCAUGGUACCCAAA